CAGAAGAAAAAGGUUUUGGGGCAAGUGCUUAUAAGGUGGAUUGGAACCCACCUUCGAAAGAAAAAGGUUUUGGGGCAAGUGCUUAUAAGGUGGAUUGGAACCCACCUUCGAAAGAAGAAGGUUUUGGGGCAAGUGCUUAUAAGGUGGACUGGAACCCACCUUCGAAAGAAAAAGGUUUUGGGGCAAGUGCUUAUAAGGUGGAUUGGAACCCAG
Long non-coding RNA from Triticum dicoccoides, 213 nucleotides. RefSeq lists it as uncharacterized. The transcript has 4 exons. NCBI's taxonomy places the organism in Eukaryota, Viridiplantae, Streptophyta, Magnoliopsida, Poales, Poaceae. The record is from RefSeq and is a predicted model, not a curated record.